UGACCUACUGGUUCAACAGGUUAGAGGGCUCACUGAAGCGGUGCAGGCCAUGCAACAGCAACAAUAGCGGCAGGCAUCAGUGCGGUUGGAGAGAACGUCUCCAGAAUUCCAAAAUCCGACAGUAGGGUGGGCCACUUGGGCCAGUCACCCCGUCUUUCCCGAAAAGACAAAUCCGAGGGUGGAGAGCCCUCAGUCCGAUCAUAAUUCUACUCCCGGAGGAUCUCUACCUCCAUUCUACCCAAAGACCCUCGAGACCCGCAGUCGAGAGGACUUUCUGGAUCGAAGGCUCCAGUAGAUGAACCGGC
This 305-nucleotide long non-coding RNA is filed under the name Elaeis guineensis (African oil palm). RNAcentral's name for it is "long non-coding RNA (EGUI_LNC077576)". The record is from RNAcentral. Lineage: Eukaryota; Viridiplantae; Streptophyta; Magnoliopsida; Arecales; Arecaceae.